This 310-nucleotide long non-coding RNA is filed under the name Vigna radiata. RNAcentral describes it as "long non-coding RNA (VRAD_LNC015374)". Lineage: Eukaryota; Viridiplantae; Streptophyta; Magnoliopsida; Fabales; Fabaceae. The record is from RNAcentral.
UCUAUCCAAAAACAAAUGCUUAAGAUCUUCCCAAUUGGCCCAGAAUUCUGGUGGAAGAUGAAUAAGCCACUCCCAUGCUGCGUCUUCUAAUGAACGCGGAAAUGCCCUUAAAAACAUGUGAUCAUCAGGGACAUGAAGAGGUUUCUUUGAAGAGCACAUGGUGUAGAACUCCUCCAAAUGUCUAUGUGGGCAUUCACCUACAAACCCAUGAAAUCUAGGCAGCAAAUCUGUAAGUCCAGAGGUGAGAACGCAAUGAACAUCAACCUCAUCAAGUGGAAUCGGCUCCCAAAGAGCACUCUCAAGACGGGAA